AGAGUUUGAUCCUGGCUCAGGAUGAACGCUGGCGGCGUGCUUAACACAUGCAAGUCGAACGAACCUUCGGGUUAGUGGCGGACGGGUGAGUAACGCGUGAGAAUCUGCCCUCAGGAGGGGGAUAACGGUUGGAAACGACCGCUAAUACCCCAUAUGCCUAUUGGUGAAAUGAAUUUCGCCUGAGGAUGAGCUCGCGUCUGAUUAGCUUGUUGGUGAGGUAAUGGCUCACCAAGGCUUCGAUCAGUAGCUGGUCUGAGAGGAUGAUCAGCCACACUGGGACUGAGACACGGCCCAGACUCCUACGGGAGGCAGCAGUGGGGAAUUUUCCGCAAUGGGCGAAAGCCUGACGGAGCAACGCCGCGUGAGGGACGAAGGCCUCUGGGCUGUAAACCUCUUUUCUCAAGGAAGAAGAUAUGACGGUACUUGAGGAAUAAGCCACGGCUAAUUCCGUGCCAGCAGCCGCGGUAAUACGGGAGUGGCAAGCGUUAUCCGGAAUUAUUGGGCGUAAAGCGUCCGCAGGCGGCUUUUCAAGUCUGCUGUUAAAGCGUGGAGCUUAACUCCAUCAUGGCAGUGGAAACUGAAAGGCUUGAGUACGGUAGGGGCAGAGGGAAUUCCCGGUGUAGCGGUGAAAUGCGUAGAUAUCGGGAAGAACACCAGUGGCGAAGGCGCUCUGCUGGGCCAUUACUGACGCUCAUGGACGAAAGCCAGGGGAGCGAAAGGGAUUAGAUACCCCUGUAGUCCUGGCCGUAAACGAUGAACACUAGGUGUCGGGGGGAAUCGACCCCUUCGGUGUCGUAGCUAACGCGUU
Molecule: ribosomal RNA, 808 nt
Filed under: uncultured Prochlorococcus sp.
Lineage: Bacteria; Bacillati; Cyanobacteriota; Cyanophyceae; Synechococcales; Prochlorococcaceae
Description: bacterial SSU rRNA
Rfam family: Bacterial small subunit ribosomal RNA
Source: RNAcentral